This 3813-nucleotide long non-coding RNA is filed under the name Triticum aestivum (bread wheat). RNAcentral's name for it is "long non-coding RNA (TAES_LNC008027)". Lineage: Eukaryota; Viridiplantae; Streptophyta; Magnoliopsida; Poales; Poaceae. The record is from RNAcentral.
UGAGCAUCAGGAGUCCAGUUGAUUGGCUUCGGCCUUUGAGUUGCUGCUGGCUAGCGGUGCUGCUUCUGAGCGUCUCCUCACCCCUCACUCAUGUGGCCCCUUCAACUGGUAAGAUCCCCCCCCCCCCCUCUCUCAAGACUUUGCUGAUUAAAUAUUUAAUAAAAAAUACAUACCAUACAUUGAGCUAGAUUUGGUUGCCUGAAAAAGGAAAAAUACGUCUCUUUGUGUAAUUGUGGUAAUCAAUUUUAAUCUUUCUUGCUUUUACCUUAGUCUUGCUCAAUAUGGUCUUAUACUUUGAAAGUUCUAAUCUGGUUAACAUUAAGCUUUUGAAGUUUUAGUUAUACCUGUGUUGAUAGUCAUUAGAAGACAACUAAACAACAAAAGGUUAGAGUUCAGUUUCAGUUAUGUAUCAAAUUAUUUAUUUCAUUGAGAUGUCUGAGAUUUAAAUUAGAAGAAAUUUUAUUAGCUUUGCCAUGUGGCUACAAAAUCCCCUCACCAUUGUUUGAUCUUGACAGUCUCUGAACCUGUUAUAUUCUGUAACUUUGGAGAACAUACUGGACAUUAACUGUUGCUUGAGAUAUAUUAAUCUGUUCUAUUUGAGAUAUAUGGGUCAUUGGAUAAGUAGGAUCCUCUAUACCGAAGUGAACAUGUUAGAAGUAUUUACUAGCUCUCCUCUGCUUUUUUCUGCAGGUGGCACUUUUGCUUGUGUCUUGUUAUCUUUUCGAAAUGGUGAAGCUGACAAUGAUAGCCUGUAUCACUGAUGGCCUUUCAUUUGCGGAGUGCUUAGAUGGUGGUUAUGUUAAGGAUGUUGUCUUCUACAAGCAGCAAGCAAAAUUAGUCACCUUGCCUCUCUUGCACUUAACAUUGUCUAAUUAGACUUUUCAAAAUGAUUAUCCAGGACUGCUUGGCCUCUCGUUUUGAUUAGCCUAUCAUUAAAGUUGGAAACACCAGAAUUGACGCUUGCGUAUGAGUAGGUACCAACUCUCUUCUUUACUCUUUCAUGGUGAAUCCAUUUUUAUUAUCCCCUGUUUGAUAGUUUUUUCUCCUCUUGACCCAAAUAAAGAGAUUUGAUGUGAUGAUUGAGGUAGAAGGCUAGCUGAACAUAUUGAUCAAAUGUCUGCUGAUGUACUUUAUUAUUCUUUGUUUCAUUGUUUUUUAUAUGGUGACCGUGAACUCUAUAGGUAGAGGAGCAGAGGACAUAAAGGUGCAUAGCUAUUUUGUCACUACUAAUAUAUAUGACUAAUUAAUGCCCACAAAGUUUUAAUGAGAUAAUAAUGAGAGAUUAUCAAAGAACAGAGCUCUCUGGUACUUCAUAUAUGUGAUCCUUUUAGCAGCCCACAAGAUGUCUCGGGACAUGCUCAUAAGAGGAUAGGAUGUGAUACGUGUUUGCUCAGACGGUCCAAUACUUGGAUGAACAGUUGGAAUAAAGGAUCUCUCUCUGUAUCCACCUUGGAAAAAAUAGAAUCAACCCUUCCUCUUAUUAAUCAUGUGCAGCCUCUUUAAUUUGCCUUCCUAGCCUGUGUCAUUUGGUUCUGAAUUUUUUUUCUGCUAUACAACUUAACAAUUUAAUUUCGUGUGUCAUGUGCAGAGAGGUCCAGGACGAUCUGAGACACAUGGGUUUCCUGUUCUCAACUUCUCAUGUUUGAUUUUAAUUCUUUUGCUUUUUGGUUAACCAGAGCUCAGAAUCAAGAUUAAGGUGUGCACUCAUAUAACCUAUGCGGUGUCAUGGUUUUUAAAUCCUGCUCCCCAUGGCUCACUAUUGCAUUUGGAAGUUGGAACUGUAUCUUAGAUUGAUUUGCUAUGAUGGGAUAUAAAUAGCAGCCUUACUAAUGUGUCACUUUACUUGGCUGCUUGCUGCUGAAACUUCUAUAUUUCUAUUUCAGAAAGUAGUUGAGCACAAAGCAAACAAGGUGAUGUUUGCCCAUAGAUGCCUGGUGAUGAUCAUUUCCUGGUGAGUUUGUGUUGCCCAUAGAGAACUUGAAAUAGUCAUGGCUGGACCUAUGAAUGAAACAAUAACAAUCAUGCAUUCGGUAUGCUCUUGGUAGAUAUUUUCUGAUUAUGCUUGUGCCUGUCAAUUUGUAUUAAUGUUUAUUUUGUAUUGCUCUACCUACAUUUUUUUUGUUAAAUGCCGCGUCUGUCGAUAUUGUUUCAUUUGCACACAACUAGCUAUCGUCGGGUACAACACUAAUGUCGCUAUUUAGAUCCUAAAAUGUGCCCUUCCUUUAUUAUUAACAUACCCUUCUGAAUUUUCUUGCAGUUGUAGGUUUGCUAAAAGUUCUUGAGUUGUCUUGCAUGAUUUUGCUUUUAUACAUAUAUAUAUUUCUUUGAACUGUGGCUUUUCUGAUGCACCUGUGCUAUUUUUUCCUCUAUUGAGAUGCUGAAUGUUUUUUCCUUUACUAUACAUCUGUAUCUACUUAUUGGCUAGAUGUUUUCUUACCCAUUUUGUUUUCUUCUUUGAGAAGGCUAUACGUGCUCUUGGAAUUAUGCAAGAUAUGAAAAAGUGUUAUAUUAUUUCAUCUCCUUGCUGCCUCUCGACAUUUCCAUUAUGAGAUAUAUUGAGUAAUACAUAUAUAUUAUCUAUUGCCGGGGUUAGUUAAAACGGGGCCAUGUGGGGUCCGCCAUGGGUUAAUAAUGUUGAGGUCUUUUGCAUAUCUCAUUUGAGCAAAGACCAUUAUUUGAAUGCUGAUUUAAUGUGCCUUUUUGCUUUGUUCUUCUAGAAGAGUACAAUGCUGGGUGGAUAUUCUUCUACCUUAGCAGAUGAGAUCGAUGGUAUUUCAAGGUAUGUACUUUUGCUUUCCCCAUAAGUUUAUAACAAUAUCUAUCUUUGUCGUGUCUGCUUAUUUCACUGUUUUUCUCUUAAAGUGGACAAGAUGAGACACUGACGGGAAAAGAAGCUUUGCCCUCCGAACAGGAAGCCUAGGCUCUAGACUGGGUAUCUCUUAAAGUAAUCAUACUUUUGAUGUGUUUUGUGUGAUCCUCAUAUUCGUUAGUUAGUUAACCCAUAUGCUCAACAUUCCUCUUACGUGCAUUUGAGGAUUGGCUAUGCAUGACCUUAUCAUUUUGGUCAUGACCGUGCAAAGAAAUGAUGGCUCGGCUGUAGGGGCAUAUCAACAGAUGCUAGCUUGAGUUGGUCCUUUGUUCUCAAUGGAUUUGUUAUUAUUAUGCCCUGUCACCCAACAUACAUUGUUUUGGAUUUGCACCUCCUAUUUUAUUCUGUUGUACUGUCCAAGGGCAAGCAAAUAUUGUGGUUAGCAUAUAAGACUAAGUUGUAUUGAAUCUUUAAUAGUUGUCAUAACGUGAGCUGCCAUAAAACACAUGAUCUUUGAUUGUGGUGCAGAUUUUUCAAAGACUGGAAGAAGUAUCCCGAGGAGGAAGACAGGAUCCUGGGUGGAAAAUUGGUGAAAGUGUGUACGAUUAUGGGAAAUGGAUGCCACCUGCUACCAGCUGCGCCCUGAGGUGUGUUUCUUUGCAGGUAUCUGAUUAGGUCAAAAUCGAUAGGAACUUUGUGUACGCUGAGUACUCUCUUUUGGCUGGCAUAGUGAAUGAGAACAGAUCAAAAUUAGCGGACCAAGCUAUAUGUGCUAUCCUUUUACUGGUGUACGGAGAACAUAUCCAGCAUGUAUUUGGGUGUAUGAACUGUUGUAUCGAUGAUGUCGAGUCGCUGUGCGUACAUGUCAUAGCUUCAUAUGCAUAUAUAAAUUGUUGUAUCCGCUUUGUACCUUUGUAUCAUGUGUAACAUAUAUUCUGAUUUACUUGGCUGAAUAUGAUUCAAUCAAGUUCAGAUUUUGGGAAGUAUAUGUUCUUCUUUGCUUC